AGGAGGCAGUCACUUACUCCUGUGCUGUCAAAUGUUAUGAGGAUUUCAGAGCCCCUGAAGUCUCAGUAGAUUUAGUCACAUCAACUUGUUUCAGGGUGACAUAUGCUGAAAGCAGCAUGUGUUCAUCAGUGAAUAAACAAUGCUCCAUCAUGUUUCCCAAAGAAAUCUAUCUUCAACAGACCCGUCUACAACACGAUCAUGUCAGGUUAACCUGCAACAGCAGGUGUUCUCUGACUGAACCUCAGGCCUCCAUUGUUUUGUUUAGGAACAAAAAGGAAGAAAGUAGGACGAUUACAGUUCCCUUAACAUCUGCAGACACCUUCACUUGUUCUGUGAAAGAUAUGAAGGACUUUCAUUCUGCUGAUGUCUGUUUUGGUAACAGCAGCUGCUGGACUGUGACUUGUGCCCAAAAAAGAAUCUGUGCUCUGAAAGACUCCUCUCUGAAUAUCUACUGUAAAUAUUCACAUCCUCAUGACCAGCCGCCAAAGUCUAAACUUUGGUUUAAAAUAAACAAAAAUAUAAACCAGGAAGAACAACUGAAAUAAAAAAAUAAUAGAGUGACAUUUUAUGAGUCUCCAAACCAACAUAACCUUAGAUUUGAAAAAUUAAGUAAAAGUGACUCAGGAGAAUAUGUGUUUAGAAUUGAAAGAAACUCUAGAGAAUGGAAAGAAUCCACUUUUCCUGAAGUUA
Oryzias latipes (Japanese medaka) is the source of this 690-nucleotide long non-coding RNA. RefSeq lists it as uncharacterized. The record is from RefSeq and is a predicted model, not a curated record. Lineage: Eukaryota; Metazoa; Chordata; Actinopteri; Beloniformes; Adrianichthyidae.